Non-coding RNA from Thamnophis sirtalis, 543 nucleotides. The record is from RefSeq and is a predicted model, not a curated record. Lineage: Eukaryota; Metazoa; Chordata; Lepidosauria; Squamata; Natricidae.
GCAGCUUGUGGUGCAGAAGCCCAAAGUGAUGCCAUCCAGCCUGCCCACAUCAGAGAGGCCAUUCGACGCUACGGCCACAAGAUUGGACCCCUUUCCCCUUACACAAGCGCCUACCGCAGAAAUGGGAUGACUUUUCUGGCUUGCUAAUAUGGAUGUGCCUACAGCAACAAGAAAGAAGACAGUAUUAUAUUAAGGACGGACUCAUUGCCAAAAGUUGCUGCUGUACAGCUAAUCAUAAGAGCCAAGGACUUAAAGAGUCCAAAUACUGGACAUUCACCAUAACCAGCCUUAUACGGAUCAAUCUCUUUAGAAGUCAAUGUUUAGAUGUGGUUACUUUACUGAAUUAUUGCAAUUGAUAUAUUCAGUAUUAUGCUUUCCAUAGUGGCAUAAUUAUACUUUAAAAACAUUUUGCAUGUCAUUUUUCUGGAAUUGAUCUGAUGUUAAAGAACUAAAAAUAGUGUAUACAGUAAAGAAGAAAACCCAUUGCUGAUGUUCUGUCUGUGCUUGCUGAAAUGUAUGAUUAAACCUUUCUUUUUAUCAUGA